This 253-nucleotide ribosomal RNA is filed under the name uncultured bacterium. RNAcentral's name for it is "partial 16S ribosomal RNA". It matches the Rfam family "Bacterial small subunit ribosomal RNA", at positions 524 to 776 of the family's 1533-position model. The record is from RNAcentral.
GACAGAGGUGCCAAGCGUUAGGCGGAAUCACUGGGCUUAAAGCGUGUGUAGGCGGAUCGUUAAGUACCUUGUGAAAUCCCACGGCUCAACCGUGGAACUGCUGGGUAUACUGGCGAUCUUGAGCCACCUAGGGGCGAGCGGAACAAGCGGUGGAGCGGUGAAAUGCGUAGAUAUCGCUUGGAACGCCAAUGGUGAAAACAGCUCGCUGGGGGUGUGCUGACGCUGAGACGCGAAAGCGUGGGGAGCAAACAGG